RNAcentral lists this transfer RNA (73 nucleotides) under Chitinophagaceae bacterium. Its description in RNAcentral is "tRNA-Thr". It matches the Rfam family "tRNA". Rfam says of the family: Transfer RNA (tRNA) molecules are approximately 80 nucleotides in length. Their secondary structure includes four short double-helical elements and three loops (D, anti-codon, and T loops). Further hydrogen bonds mediate the characteristic L-shaped molecular structure. tRNAs have two regions of fundamental functional importance: the anti-codon, which is responsible for specific mRNA codon recognition, and the 3' end, to which the tRNAs corresponding amino acid is attached (by aminoacyl-tRNA synthetases). tRNAs cope with the degeneracy of the genetic code in two manners: having more than one tRNA (with a specific anti-codon) for a particular amino acid; and 'wobble' base-pairing, i.e. permitting non-standard base-pairing at the 3rd anti-codon position. RNAcentral also lists the same sequence under 2 other names. Lineage: Bacteria; Pseudomonadati; Bacteroidota; Chitinophagia; Chitinophagales; Chitinophagaceae. The record is from RNAcentral.
GCCACCUUAGCUCAGAUGGUAGAGCAACUGAUUUGUAAUCAGUAGGUCGCCAGUUCGACUCUGGCAGGUGGCU